Molecule: ribosomal RNA, 435 nt
Filed under: uncultured bacterium
Lineage: Bacteria
Description: partial 16S ribosomal RNA
Rfam family: Bacterial small subunit ribosomal RNA
Source: RNAcentral
AGCGAACGCUGGCGGCAGGCUUAACACAUGCAAGUCGAGCGGGCAUCUUCGGAUGUCAGCGGCAGACGGGUGCGUAACACGUGGGAACGUACCCUUCGGUUCGGAACAACUCUGGGAAACUGGAGCUAAUACCGGAUACGCCCUUAUGGGGAAAGGUUUACUGCCGAAGGAUCGGCCCGCGUCUGAUUAGCUAGUUGGUGGGGUAACGGCCUACCAAGGCGACGAUCAGUAGCUGGUCUGAGAGGAUGAUCAGCCACACUGGGACUGAGGCACGGCCCAGACUCCUACGGGAGGCAGCAGUGGGGAAUAUUGGACAAUGGGCGCAAGCCUGAUCCAGCCAUGCCGCGUGAGUGAUGAAGGCCUUAGGGUUGUAAAGCUCUUUUGUCCGGGACGAUAAUGACGGUACCGGAAGAAUAAGCCCCGGCUAACUUCGUG